RNAcentral lists this ribosomal RNA (583 nucleotides) under Paenibacillus alvei. Its description in RNAcentral is "bacterial SSU rRNA". It matches the Rfam family "Bacterial small subunit ribosomal RNA", at positions 173 to 747 of the family's 1533-position model. Lineage: Bacteria; Bacillati; Bacillota; Bacilli; Caryophanales; Paenibacillaceae. The record is from RNAcentral.
GCAUUUUCCUCGCAUGAGGGAGAUGAGAAAGGCGGAGCAAUCUGCCACUUAUGGAUGGACCUGCGGCGCAUUAGCUAGUUGGUAAGGUAACGGCUUACCAAGGCGACGAUGCGUAGCCGACCUGAGAGGGUGAUCGGCCACACUGGGACUGAGACACGGCCCAGACUCCUACGGGAGGCAGCAGUAGGGAAUCUUCCGCAAUGGACGAAAGUCUGACGGAGCAACGCCGCGUGAGUGAUGAAGGUUUUCGGAUCGUAAAGCUCUGUUGCCAGGGAAGAACGCCUAGGAGAGUAACUGCUCCUAGGGUGACGGUACCUGAGAAGAAAGCCCCGGCUAACUACGUGCCAGCAGCCGCGGUAAUACGUAGGGGGCGAGCGUUGUCCGGAAUUAUUGGGCGUAAAGCGCGCGCAGGCGGCAAUGUAAGUUGGGUGUUUAAACCUAGGGCUCAACCUUGGGUCGCAUCCAAAACUGCAUAGCUUGAGUACAGAAGAGGAAAGUGGAAUUCCACGUGUAGCGGUGAAAUGCGUAGAUAUGUGGAGGAACACCAGUGGCGAAGGCGACUUUCUGGGCUGUAACUGACGCU